UUCCGGUUGAUCCCGCCGGACCCGACCGCUAUCGGGGUAGGGCUAAGCCAUGGGAGUCGUACACCCCCGGGAAGGGGGUGUGGCGGACGGCUGAGUAACACGUGGCUAACCUACCCUCGGGACGGGGAUAACCCCGGGAAACUGGGGAUAAUCCCCGAUAGGGGAAGAGUCCUGGAACGGUUCUUCCCCUAAAGGGCUAUGGGCUGUUCCCGCUCAUAGCUGCCCGAGGAUGGGGCUGCGGCCCAUCAGGCUGUUGGCGGGGUAAAGGCCCGCCAAACCUAUAACGGGUAGGGGCCGUGGGAGCGGGAGCCCCCAGUUGGGCACUGAGACAAGGGCCCAGGCCCUACGGGGCGCACCAGGCGCGAAACGUCCCCAAUGCGCGAAAGCGUGAGGGCGCUACCCCGAGUGCCUCCGAAAGGAGGCUUUUCCCCGCUCUAAUAAGGCGGGGGAAUAAGCGGGGGGCAAGUCUGGUGUCAGCCGCCGCGGUAAUACCAGCUCCGCGAGUGGUCGGGGCGCUUACUGGGCCUAAAGCGCCUGUAGCCGGCCCACCAAGUUACCCCUUAAAGACCCGAGCUCAACUCGGGGACUGGGGGUAAUACUGGUGGGCUAGGGGGCGGGAGAGGCGGGAGGUACUCCCGGAGUAGGGGCGAAAUCCGUAGAUACCGGGAGGACCACCAGUGGCGGAGGCGUCCCGCUAGAACGCGCCCGACGGUGAGAGGCGAAAGCCGGGGCAGCAAACGGGAUUAGAUACCCCGGUAGUCCCGGCUGUAAACGAUGCGGGCUAGGUGUCAGACGGGCUUAGAGCCCGUCUGGUGCCGCAGGGAAGCCGUUAAGCCCGCCGCCUGGGGAGUACGGUCGCAAGACUGAAACUUAAAGGAAUUGGCGGG
Molecule: ribosomal RNA, 887 nt
Filed under: uncultured archaeon
Lineage: Archaea
Description: bacterial SSU rRNA
Rfam family: Archaeal small subunit ribosomal RNA
Source: RNAcentral